UUCCUUAUGGCCCAAUGGCAAGGCGUCCGCCUACGACAUCUGCAAAGGUAGAGUGAGCGGGAGAUUCCAGGUUCGACCCCUGGUGAGGAAG
This is a non-coding RNA of Kockiozyma suomiensis, 91 nucleotides long. Lineage: Eukaryota; Fungi; Ascomycota; Lipomycetes; Lipomycetales; Lipomycetaceae. The record is from the annotation of a GenBank genome assembly.